GCCGCCGGUGGCGGCAGCGCCGCGCUGGGCCGGGCUCUCCUCAGGAAGGCUCUGGAGAAGAGCAGCAGGUAUGGAUCGGCACCACAAGCAGCUCCGGCCACGCCAGCAGCCUGCCCAGGCCCGUGGUGGAUGUGUAAAGCAGCGAGGAAGGAGUGAAGGAGAAGGAGCGGGGCGAAGUCCCUCAGGAAUCGGGGGCACAGAAGCGCAGGGUCUGCCUCCCUGCGCUCAGGCCUCGCUGCUUGACUCGCUGCCCCAAAACGGGCUGCAGCCGAGGAGCAGGACGUGUCCCGACCUCUCCAGGGCAAAGCCCUGUAACAUAACAAACCUGUUAGCCCCGAGAGCUCCCCUGUGGCCGCGUCUCUCAGGCAGCUCAGCUCUGGUGGCAGAAAGGCCGCGGGAGCCCCGCAUGCAGAGGUUUUGCUCCUCACACACGCGUGUGGAAGAGCAGCUGGGUCAGCCUCGGGUGGCUCUGGCUGCCUGUGAGCACGAGCACUCAAAUCUGUCAGCAGCACUGACUUCUGCACCUGGCUCCUGGUUGCUCUUUCCCAUCUCCUCACUUUUCUGAUUUUUUUUUUCUCCUCACAUCCUAAUUGGAGGUGACAAGGAACAAACCUGCUUGGAAGUGACCAUAAGCCUGCAGAACUUUUUUGGGACUUGCUGGAAUUUCCAGAAAAAAAAAAAAAAACAAAAAAAAAGGUAAGACUAAUACCUUAGCUUUAAGGUAUCAAAAGGACAAUGAGCUCUGUGAGAAGGGAAAAAAGUAGUGAUAUUCCAAAUUGCAGCUCCUAGGACUAAAAGAUAACUAACAGGAGUUUUGUUAGUGGCAGGAUUAUGCCCCGUAGAGGUUCAAAAUUUUGGACUAAUAGCUUUUAUUUGGCAACCAAAGGCCCUGAAGAAUUGCUGGAAUGGCCCUGACAGUGUUGAACCAGUUUUAAGACCUUGAAGGAUGCUCAUGGAAGCACCAGCUUCAGGCCUUCCAGGUACAACCAAGCUCUUUUCAUGAUGCAUGCAUGGAAGGCAACCAGUGGCCUCUGUGGGGAUGACACAGCUUCUUGGGAGUUGGCAAAGGCCAGUGGCAUCCUUCUCCAAGCAACUGGAUGGUCAGCAUGCUUAUCGGCCAGAGCAGCCCUAGUGAUGCAGGAGGCCCAGAAAUUCACUUUGGGAUGCUCAGUAACUGUGUUAGUGCCACGUGCCAUUGCUGGCUGUUUGGAAUCCAGAGGGACAUCACUGGAUCUCUCUAAUGCUGGCAAAAUACCGAGCUGUGCUAAUGGACCUGGGAGAGAAGUAGCCGUGUGUGCGUGACGCCGACUUCAAGGGAAGCCAUUUUGCUCCCUGCUGAAAAGCAAGGGCCUUUUUCAACGUGAGUGCACACCGUGGGGCACUCAGGACGCCAAGAUUUAAGGGAUGAACCUUUGCAGGAACCAGGCAAAAGCUGGCAGCAGAUUGGGCUGUAUUGCAGCGAGUGCUACGGAGCCCUGAACAACACCUGCUCCGUCUGCACGGCCCCCCUGAGCUCCCCGGACUCUGGCGACGAGGAGAUGGACUCCAGUGACGAGGACACGCCGGGGCUGUGGCCGGGCCGGGGCCAGGAGCGAGGGCGGCGGCUGCUGCAGCGCAUCAAGGACGUGCUCAAGCCCUCCAGAACGGCUGCCCAGCUGUGAGCCCAGCUGUGAGGGGAGGAAAAGAGUGAGGAAAGCAAUGUGGGCAGCAGUGGGGUCAACAAGAGCAGGUGAGGGCUGGCUGUGGGCUGGCAACGUCCCCUGUCCUCCCCAGCACUGGGGAUGCUGGAUGCCAACACUGCGGCUCCUCUCUGCCAGCAAGACUUCAACUACCAGCAGCAGGCCAAGAACAGUGAAAGCGAGGGCCCAGUGACAGCAGGACGGUGCCAUGUGGCAGCAAAACCACGGGUCCAGGUGCUGGGAUGUGCCUGGAGCCCCACCAGUGCAGCAGAAGCUGAGAGCCCCUGGGUGUGGAAGGGCUGGUGAGUAAAUCACCUGCUCCUCAAGGCAGCUGAGUCCUGGUACUCUGAGCUGGCAUCCACCAUUCCAUGAUGGUCCAGGCCUUGUGGUACCCCAGCUCCUUGCUGCCCUGGCUCCGUCCCUGCUGUGACCCCAGCCUCUCAAUGUCCCCCAGCCCCACCUCCAGCGCCUUGGUGCCACCAUCUCCAUGCCCGCUGUGCCUCCAGCCCUUACACACCCUCGUCCCCAGCCUUUAUGGUGUCCCCAUUCCCAUCCCUGUGGUGCCCCCAGCCCCAUGCUGACCCCCACCCCUCGAUGUCCCUCUCCCCACACACGGUGCCCGCUCCCCAUCCCUGCAGUGCCCCAGACUCUCAAUGUCCCUUGUCCCCAUCCCCACAUCGUCCCCAGUCCUGAGCUGCUCCAGGGGCAGGGAUGCAGAAUGGACAGACAGCUGGACACGGGGGAAGUCCCUGCUUCUCCGUUUAUUACCAAGCAGCCUUCGUUUAAAAAACAAAACAAAAAAAACCAAAACAAAACAAAAAAAAAAAAUAAAACAAA
This is an RNA transcript of Vidua chalybeata, 2516 nucleotides long. It is a transcript of the gene named DC-STAMP domain containing 2, with no coding region annotated. The transcript has 3 exons. NCBI's taxonomy places the organism in Eukaryota, Metazoa, Chordata, Aves, Passeriformes, Viduidae. The record is from RefSeq and is a predicted model, not a curated record.